CUCUUACUCCCUCCGUCUGAAAAUACUUGUCAUCAAAAUGGAUAAAAGCAGAUGUAUCUAGAUGUAUUUUAGUUCUGAUACACCCCUUUUGAUCCAUUUUGAUGACAAGUAUUUUCGGACGGAGGGAGUACGUU
Non-coding RNA from Triticum aestivum (bread wheat), 134 nucleotides. Lineage: Eukaryota; Viridiplantae; Streptophyta; Magnoliopsida; Poales; Poaceae. The record is from Rfam.